This 2896-nucleotide ribosomal RNA is filed under the name Clostridioides difficile. Its description in RNAcentral is "23S ribosomal RNA". It matches the Rfam family "Bacterial large subunit ribosomal RNA". The record is from RNAcentral. Lineage: Bacteria; Bacillati; Bacillota; Clostridia; Peptostreptococcales; Peptostreptococcaceae.
UCAAGUUAUUAAGGGUGCAGGGCGGAUGCCUUGGCACUAGGAGCCGAUGAAGGACGUGAUAAGCUGCGAUAAGCUUCGGGGAGUUGCACGUAAACUUUGAUCCGAAGAUUUCCGAAUGAGGAAACUCACUUAGAGUAAUGUCUAAGUAUCAUUAAGGGAAUACAUAGCUUAAUGAGGGGAACUCAGGGAACUGAAACAUCUAAGUACCUGAAGGAAGAGAAAGAAAUUCGAUUCCGUAAGUAGCGGCGAGCGAACGCGGAUUAGCCCAAACCAAUAAAGUUUUCUUUAUUGGGGUUGCGGACAUAUCAUAACGAAGAGGUAUCGUAAUUGAAGAGGUUUGGAAAGACCCACCACAGAAGGUAAUAGUCCUGUAUGUUAAACGAGAAGACUUCAGAUAUGAUCCAGAGUACCACGGGACACGUGAAACCCUGUGGGAAGCAGGAGGGACCACCCUCCAAGGCUAAAUACUACCUAGUGACCGAUAGCGUAUAGUACCGUGAGGGAAAGGUGAAAAGAACCCCGGGAGGGGAGUGAAAUAGAACCUGAAACCCUGCACUUACAAGCUGUGGAAGCACAUUUCUUGUGUGACCGCGUACUUUUUGUAGAACGGGCCAACGAGUUACGUUAAGUAGCAAGGUUAAGCACUUAAGGUGUGGAGCCGUAGCGAAAGCGAGUUUUAACUGAGCGUUCAGUUACUUGACGUAGACCCGAAACCGGGCGACCUACCCAUGAGCAGGAUGAAGCGAAAGUAAAAUUUCGUGGAGGUCCGAACCCACGAGCGUUGAAAAGCUCGGGGAUGACUUGUGGGAAGCGGUGAAAUUCCAAUCGAGCCCGGAGAUAGCUGGUUCUCCCCGAAAUAGCUUUAGGGCUAGCCUCAAGGUGAGAGAUACGGAGGUAGAGCACUGAAUGUCCUAGGGGGUAUUGCACCUACCGAAGACUAUCAAACUCCGAAUGCCGUCAUCUUAUACUUGGGAGUCAGACUGUGGGUGAUAAGAUUCAUAGUCGAAAGGGCAACAGCCCAGAUCGUCAGCUAAGGUCCCUAAAUGUAAGUUAAGUGGUAAAGGAUGUGGGAUUGCACAGACAACCAGGAUGUUGGCUUAGAAGCAGCCACUCAUUCAAAGAGUGCGUAAUAGCUCACUGGUCGAGUGAUCCUGCGCCGAAGAUUUCCGGGGCUAAAACUUACUACCGAAGCUACGGCAUCAGUAAUGAUGGGUAGGGGAGCUUCCCAUACGGGUUGAAGCAUGACCGUAAGGACAUGUGGACAGUAUGGGAGUGAGAAUGUUGGCAUGAGUAGCGAGAUGUGGGUGAGAAUCCCACAGGCCGUAAACCCAAGGUUUCCAGGGGAAGGUUCGUCCGCCCUGGGUUAGUCGGGACCUAAGCUGAGGCCGAAAGGCGUAGGUGAUGGACAACAGGUUGAUAUUCCUGUACUACCGAUAACCGUUUGAGAGAAGGGAUGACACAGUAGGAUAAGCUAAGCACACUGUUGGUUAUGUGUGCCCAAGCAUUGAGGCAGUCAAAGUAGGCAAAUCCGCUUUGAUAAUGCUGGGAUGUGAUGGGGAGCGAAAUUUAGUAGCGAAGUAGCUGAUUUCACACUGUCAAGAAAAGUCUCUAUCGAGGUUAAAGGUACCCGUACCGCAAACCGACACAGGUGGGGGAGGAGAGUAUCCUAAGGCCAGCGAGAGAACUGUUGUUAAGGAACUCGGCAAAAUGACCCCGUAACUUAGGGAUAAGGGGUGCCACCAUCAGGUGGCCGCAGAGAAUAGGCCCAAGCGACUGUUUACCAAAAACAUAGGUUUCUGCUAAGUCGCAAGACGAUGUAUAGGAGCUGACGCCUGCCCGGUGCUGGAAGGUUAAGGGGAUCUGUUAGAGCAAUCGAAGCAGUGAACUUAAGCCCCAGUAAACGGCGGCCGUAACUAUAACGGUCCUAAGGUAGCGAAAUUCCUUGUCGGGUAAGUUCCGACCCGCACGAAAGGCGUAACGAUUUGGGCACUGUCUCAACAACAGACUCGGUGAAAUUGUAAUUCCGGUGAAGAUGCCGGAUACCUGCGACAGGACGGAAAGACCCCAUGGAGCUUUACUGUAGCUUGACAUUGGGUCUUGGUACUACAUGUACAGGAUAGGUGGGAGGCUUUGAAACCAGGACGCCAGUUUUGGCGGAGCCAUCCUUGGGAUACCACCCUUGUAGUACUGGGACUCUAACCAUAGGCCAUGAAUCUGGUCUUGGGACACUGUCAGGUGGGCAGUUUGACUGGGGCGGUCGCCUCCCAAAAGGUAACGGAGGCGCUCAAAGGUUCUCUCAGUACGGUCGGAAAUCGUACGUAGAGUGUAAAGGCAAAAGAGAGCUUGAUUGCAAGACAUACAGGUCGAGCAAGGAUGAAAAUCGGACUUAGUGAUCCGGUGGUUCUGCGUGGAAGGGCCAUCGCUCAACGGAUAAAAGCUACCCUGGGGAUAACAGGCUUAUCUCCCCCAAGAGUCCACAUCGACGGGGAGGUUUGGCACCUCGAUGUCGGCUCAUCACAUCCUGGGGCUGUAGUAGGUCCCAAGGGUUGGGCUGUUCGCCCAUUAAAGUGGUACGCGAGCUGGGUUCAGAACGUCGUGAGACAGUUCGGUCCCUAUCCGUCGCAGGCGUAGGAAAUUUGAGAAGACCUGUCCUUAGUACGAGAGGACCGGGAUGGACGUACCUCUGGUGUACCAGUUGUUCUGCCAAGGGCAUGGCUGGGUAGCUAUGUACGGAAUGGAUAAGCGCUGAAAGCAUCUAAGCGCGAAGCCAACUUCAAGAUAAGAUUUCCCACCGUAAGGGUAAGACCCCAGAAAGACUAUCUGGUUGAUAGGUCGAAGGUGUAAGUGCAGCAAUGUAUUUAGCUUAUCGAUACUAAUAGGUCGAGGACUUGACCAA